CCGGGGAUGUAUUUCUAGCAACAGUGGCAUAUAAAACAGGCGUGACGCACGGCUGGGUUCAUUUAAAACCAUGGUGGGAGCACUGCACAAAUGCAAAUACUUCAGGCAAUGGGAUUGUUCGGCGCUGUCACCCCCACACAAGUGGAGAAGUGGGACAAUCUGAAGUGGAAACAUAAGGAGUAGAGCUGCCCCCCAAAUGGGAUAGGGACCGACAUUUUUACAGCAUUGCAUGAGGCCAUCGUUUGGGAAGCCAUCGAUCGACCUUCCCACACUGAUGGACUCUGCCACUGCUGCUGUGGCCUCUGGUGUAUAGCUCACCGAUCCUGUCCGGAGACAGGACACAGUGCUGGAGGAGGAGGCCGCUGAGUCUGCAUGUACCAUCCACCUCUGCUGGUCCCCUUCCCCACAGAAAUAAAAAUAAAUCUGAACUGCGGCAGUUUCUGGAGGACCGAUCUAAAUGCCAGUGGAAAUUCCUCAAACUGUUUGAGGAGUAAGUCUGAAAAGAAUAGUUCAGUUAUCUUUUUCUUUUGGUUCAAGUCCAUACUUCUGUGUUGUUAUGUUUUGGAAUUGAUU
Long non-coding RNA from Eleginops maclovinus (Patagonian blennie), 573 nucleotides. RefSeq lists it as uncharacterized. NCBI's taxonomy places the organism in Eukaryota, Metazoa, Chordata, Actinopteri, Perciformes, Eleginopidae. The transcript has 3 exons. The record is from RefSeq and is a predicted model, not a curated record.